AUACGUAGGUGGCGAGCGUUAUCCGGAUUUACUGGGUGUAAAGGGCGCGUAGGCGGGGAAGCAAGUCAGAUGUGAAAUCCAUGGGCUCAACUCAUGAACUGCAUUUGAAACUGUUUCUCUUGAGUGCCGGAGAGGUAGACGGAAUUCCUAGUGUAGCGGUGAAAUGCGUAGAUAUUAGGAGGAACACCAGUGGCGAAGGCGGUCUACUGGACGGUAACUGACGCUGAGGCGCGAAAGCGUGGGGAGCAAACAGGAUUAGAUACCCUGGUAGUCCACGCUGUAAACGAUGAAUACUAGGUGUGGGGGGACUGACCCCCUCCGUGCCGCAGUUAACACAAUAAGUAUUCCACCUGGGGAGUACGACCGCAAGGUUGAAACUCAAAGGAAUUGACGGGG
RNAcentral lists this ribosomal RNA (396 nucleotides) under uncultured bacterium. Its description in RNAcentral is "partial 16S ribosomal RNA". It matches the Rfam family "Bacterial small subunit ribosomal RNA", at positions 523 to 918 of the family's 1533-position model. The record is from RNAcentral.